RNAcentral lists this ribosomal RNA (513 nucleotides) under Triticum aestivum (bread wheat). RNAcentral's name for it is "partial small subunit ribosomal RNA". Lineage: Eukaryota; Viridiplantae; Streptophyta; Magnoliopsida; Poales; Poaceae. The record is from RNAcentral.
AUGUUCAUUCAAAAAAAGUAAGGUGGAGUGGGCUAUAGAGAUAUCAACUGUUUUAACGCUUUACUGGUAAAACAAGCUUGGAGACUUAUUGGUAAUACGGAUUCUCUUUGUGCGAUGAUCGUCAAAGCGAAAUAUAUCAGUGAUGGAGAUCUCUUGAAUGACACCUUGAGGAACAAAUCUUAGUAUACUUGGCAAAGUAUUAUGGCCGGUGUUGAAGUCCUAAAGAUUGGACACAUAUGGAGAGUUGGUGAUGGGGCACAAAUUAAGAUUUGGGAGGAUGAAUGGAUUCCACAAUCCCCAACCAGAAAGGUAAUAACUACUCGUGGUAAUCAUCUUCUAUCACAUGUGUGUGAUCUCAUUGACCCUAUGACAGGUGAUUGGGAUGAAAAUGAACAGCUUGUUAGGCAAACAUUUUGGCAGGUGGAUGCCCAUCUUGCAAUACCGCUACCAUUGCAUGAUAUGACCGAUUUUGGUGCUUGGAACAUGACUAGAACAGGAGUAUCCACAGUGUAG